UUUUUUUUUUUAGGUUUAUUUUUAUUUUUACCUACAUAGCUGUGCAAUGUAAUGUAAUUAAUAAUAUUAGUUUUAAGUAUAAGUACUUAUAGUAUAAGAAUAAAUUGCUGUGCCCUUACAGGGUCUGUAUUCAAUGUAAUAUAUGAGCAAUAAAGAUGUUAUGAGUUAUGAGUUAUGAGCUAAAUAAUAUAAUCGGAAAACCACCGAAUUUUAUCGCUACUAUAAAAAUGUUGAAAAUAGAACUUCACAUAUUUCGAUAAAAUAUUUCUUGUUUAAGGAGACUCAAUUCAAUGCAAAUUUGCCAACGGUGGCGUUUCGAAAUGUAAUACCGUCGCGGCGUCUGUCAUACUUCGGUCUACUUAAACACGCUGCACGCUGCUGCGACGCGUCAGGGCCUACCGCGAACCACGUUCGACGUGUUGCCUCUCUGUCGCACUUAUAAAUUCGUACGUAAGUAUGACAGGGAGGCAACACGUCGAACGUGGUUCACGGUAGGCCCUCUGUUCUGUGAUUGUUAGGCAAACACAAACAUUUUUUUUUACAACGGACGCCCACGAGUAUUCCUCUGCGUUGAAGUCAUUGUUGAAGUUUGAAAACUCAUAAAGUUUUGUUUUGUGAGUGAAACCGUGAAUAAUACUAAAUAAAAAUGUGUGACAGUGAUCACAGUGAUGAAAAUAUGUUGCCCACUACUCCUCAGGAAAUAUUAAAGCCUUUUCCGUUUAUGUUGUUCCGUUGUUUGCUAUUUUGACAACUUGAAAAGUUUUAUCGGCAGUUUGCGUGUUAUUACUGUGAAGUGUUUGGCCAAACCGCCGCUACCACUUUUGAAAGGAUGCCACCCAAAAAUCCAAAAAUGUAAGUUACACAAAACAAAAAGAAUUUAUUUGCAGAAAAAUAUAGCUAUUUGCCAGUUCCUUUGAUCGUUAACUUAUGUGACUGUUUUUUUUCAGUCGCUCGAACGCAGCACAAAUUAGAUUGCUCGUUGAAUACAUGUCACAGCACACCCGGUUCGCCAACCGGGAAUUUGACGGGCCUCUAAGGACCCCAGAGGUACGAGGCGCAAUGGGAGGCCCUUGCACAGGCCUUAAGGGAGCACGGGCCCAAUAAGUCAGUGCAGGCAUGGAAAGUGGUGGGCACCUGCUCCCCGCUGGCGACACCCUUGCAGAAGCUAGCAUUUUCAGAUAUAUUUACUUUUUAAGUUUUUGGUUUGGUUUAACCGGAAUUAUUUUUACCCGACUAUGAGAAUGGGAAGGGUUAUGAUUUUAGCAGUCUACGUAUGGAUGCCGUAUAUAUGCCGGAUAUCCUGAACGAACUGAAAAUUUUUAAUGAGGCGCAGAAACAAAAAUGGAGUGUUUUGAAGGAGGGGCACGACUUGUUGGCGAAUCGGUUCAUCCUCUGACCUUUCCAAGGAGCAAGAUCUUAUUUUCGUGUAUGAGAGCCUUUGGAAUACAAUAUUAUUAACGCCCGAAUGAGUGCUACCGCGUUUAAUUUCGCCACUAGGGGUGCUAGUGUAGACGGAGGUCUUUCGAAAUGUCAAAUGCAUAGCUUUUUUAUCGUGAAUUUCUACUCCUCAUUCAUAAUUGUGGUAAAUCUUAUUUCAUCUUUGAUUAGUUAGUCACCAAACAAAAGUAACUCAAAUAGCCGGGUCCACACAGAGCGAGCAUACGCGCCAGGCAACUUCCUCACGCACAAAACGGCCAGUGUAGACGUGCCUCGGACGAGGCGGAGCGCGCGUUUUCCUCGCCCUAGUGCGCCGCCUCGGCCGAGGCACGUCUACACUGGCUGGGAUUACCAUCGAAUCGUCUAAUGUCGGUUUUGUUCCUUUGGGUUUGUUGUACCUAGUGACAUGUUUUUUAAACGAUUGCAACGCCAUCUGCGAGUUGCUCGAGAGACUCAACUUACACACAUAUAUGGAUGUGGCUUCAAAAGUAAUCACCGUUAAUAUCUCGUACCUUGAAUAAAGGACCCACUUCUUAAUUAUUAUUAUAAAUUAUAUUUUGGUAUUGUUCCAGUAUUAACACAUUGGAGGACACCGAGAUUAUUGAGAACUUGGAAGACACAGUUAUAAUGGAAGAGGAAGACGUCUGAGCUAAGCGCUGUCCUCGCACCCUCCGUCUAGUUUACGUUUGCGGCCAUAUCAAAAAUACACACCGUAUGUUUAUUAGGGUUCCGUACCAAAAAGGUACAAAAGGAACCCUUAUGGUGCUAUUGCUAAAUAUCUCGAGAAGUACUUAAGCUAUCGAUGUGAAAUUUGGAAUAGUAAUGAAUAACGCUGACCCAAACAUAUUGGAUGUGUAUUUAUUUUAUUUUAUUUGUAAGUAUUAAUAAUGGAAAAUUCCCAAUAUGAAGAGGGGGUAAAAUUGCAAAGUCUAGUUAAAUAGGUCAAGUGGGGUAUCAUUUGAAAGAGCUCAAAUUGAAAAUUACAAAACAAUUUUUUAUUUUCAUUGUGAAAAAAAAAUUUACGUAUGAAGGAAAAUGUGAAAAUAAUACCAUCCCCCCCCCCUCUCUCAUCUCCGAAGUUUAAGAAUAAAAAUUGUUUUUUUUACAUUGGUCAAGUCUUUCAUGAGAAAAUUUGAAGUUUGUACGGAACCCUCGGUGUGCGAGGUAAACGAACUCGCACUUGACCGGUUAUUCUUAUUGCCCAUAAGGCCCGUCCUUAGAUAUAUGUCAAUGAUUACGGUGAUCUCGAAAAUGGCUCAAAUGAUUUCAAUUAAAUUUGCUAUAUGGGGGUUUUCGGGGCGUUUUUGAGUUUUUACCUAUUUGUUUUCCGAGCAAAAGGAAUUAAAGUUUACUGAUUUUGAAAA
Molecule: long non-coding RNA, 2801 nt
Organism: Cydia pomonella (codling moth)
Lineage: Eukaryota; Metazoa; Arthropoda; Insecta; Lepidoptera; Tortricidae
Exons: 4
Source: RefSeq, a predicted model, not a curated record